Molecule: non-coding RNA, 82 nt
Organism: Corythoichthys intestinalis (scribbled pipefish)
Lineage: Eukaryota; Metazoa; Chordata; Actinopteri; Syngnathiformes; Syngnathidae
Source: the annotation of a RefSeq genome assembly
GGUAGUGUGGCCGAGCGGUCCAAGGCGCUGGAUUAAGAUUUCAGUCUCUUUGGAGGCGUGGGUUCAAAUCCCACCACUGCCA